GUGGCCUUUUGGGCUACAGGGAGACUCUGAGAGACCGAGUUUCUUGAUCUGUGCAGGGUAUUAACGUGUAACAGCUGCCUGUUCCAGGGUUUCUCUGGAGGCUGGCCAGAGUCCUUGAGCAGUUGUCAUUUCUGUCUUGCUGGUCUGAUGGGACUGGGAAGGGCCGAGCCUUAGGACCCACUUUCCUUUCUCCCUUGAUGUUUUCCCACCAGAACACCAUGGGUUGUUACCUGCCUUGAGUUGGGAAACGGUUUGCAUUUACACCUGUAAAUUUAUUCAUUCUUUUAAUUUAUGUAAGGUUUUUGUACGCAAUUCUCAAUUCUUGAGAUGACAAAUUUUGGUUUUCUACUGUCAUGUGAGAACAUUGGGCCCCAGCAACGCGUCCUUGUGUGAGGAAAUAAAGUGCUGCAGUGAAC
Ceratotherium simum simum (southern white rhinoceros) is the source of this 416-nucleotide non-coding RNA. Lineage: Eukaryota; Metazoa; Chordata; Mammalia; Perissodactyla; Rhinocerotidae. The record is from RefSeq and is a predicted model, not a curated record.